GUGUCUGGGAAUGGAGGGAAGCAGGACAGGAAGUGAAAUCUGGGUCACCAGCCCACCCAGCCUCCCCACUCCACCACCCACAUUCCCAGGCUUGCUCUGCCUGCCUCUGAACCGAGCCUCUUUGCAGACCACGGGGGUGGCCCAGGCCCCAUGCAGUGUCUGUCCCCAUCUAGGGGAGGAGCGGGGAACACAGGGCAGGAGGUCGAGCCAACUUCCCAGAAUAAGCCCCGCAGCUCUUCCCAAGCGAACAGAAUGCAGAGAAGCCAGCGUUCCCAAGUUCAAGGCCAAGGCAAGGCGGAGGUCCCUGCGGAGGGAACUUCCUCAGGCCAAGGACCAGCAAAAUCUGGAAGAAUCUGCCUGGAAGCUGAUUUCCCUGGUUUAUGUUCCAGAGGUCAGCUCUGUAUCCCCACUCUGAUCCCGAUACAACAAAACAGGAUGGAUGAAUUCCCUUGAUGUUCUAGGCACAGGCAAGUGUUUUCCACGGUGUGAACCUCUCUUUCCCAUGGACUUGAUCUCACAACCAUCGCCCUUUCAAAGACAAGUGGUUUAUGAAGCUAAUUCAUACUAAUACGUGAACAAGUGCCUGCUGACCUUCGCCUGCCCUGUGUAUCUGACUAUGAACUCCUGGAGCACAGGGACUGGUUUAUUCCUCUUCAUGGUUUCAGUGCCAGGUACAAGGCUUGGUUCAGAGUUGGUGUUGUGUGGAUCAUCAUAAAGAAGACAGCAAUAGCAAAAAUAAAUCAUAACAGCUAACAACUACUGGAUGUCUUCUAAAUGCCACAGAAUCAGGAAGUCCCCAAAUCCCAAUCAGAGUGAUUCGGGAGAGGACCAGAAGACGUCAACCAAAUCCCGAUCAGAGUGAUUUGGGAGAGGACCGGAAGAUGUCAACCAAAUCCUGAUCAGAGCGCUUCUGGAGAGGACCAAAAGGCGUCCAUGGAUGCAGUUUUCCUCCCUGCCUUCUCUCCUGCUCCCACCUGCCUGGUGAAAAUAUAGGGGCCCCUGGGACUCCCAGCUUCAGGGCGGGCCUGGAAAAGGCUCAGGGAAGCCAAGCCUUUGCUGGAGGGCAGGGAGGCUCACUUUGGGUUCACCUGAAGCCCCUAUUUUUCAGAGGUCCCCUGUCUGCCCUCCUCGUGGCUCACUCUGCACAGGUGUUCGUCUCUCCCAUCAGAUGGUGCGCUCCACAAGACCAGGAUCUGUAGUUCACCAGGGGCUCCCCAGGCAGGUACACAGGGCCUGGUGCUAUUUGCUCCAGGAGCUGGCCCUGGAGCCCAGUGACCCCCAGUUCCAGCUCCCUCAGCAGCCUCAAAGCGGGGAGGAAGGCCGUAACCAGGUUGGCCUUCACCUAGACUUCUCGUUGAAAGGGAAGCCCGCAGAGAAGGGACACAGCCGCAGGAUGCAGGUACCUGCAGAGGCUGCCACCAGCCGCUAACCACAGCCUCCACGCUCAUCUCCAUCACCUGGGUCCUGGCUCCCCUCCUCCAGGAAGCCCUCCCUGGUGCGCCCCACCCACACACCCUGUUAUACUGCUCGCUUGGGUUCCAGGAAGCUCGGGGCGGCCACAGCUCUGGGGAGAAGAUGGGAGAGCAAGACUCAGGCUUCUUCGGGGUUCAGAACUGGGCUUUCAGUUCCAGAUCAUGGUUUCCGUCCUCUUCUCCCCUCUUCUCACGAAGAGGCUCUCUCAGUCAUCCUUGCUUUUCUGUCUUUUUCUCCCUUCUUUUCUCCUCUUGCCUCAUUCCCUUCUUGCCUCAUUCCCUUCUUCCUUCCAUCUCCUCAUUUCCUUCCUUCACUCCAGCACUGUUUCAUGGAAGAUUCGAGGCCACUUUUGCCUUCAGCCCACCUCCAGACUGCUGGGCGUUGAGACCGGCCCGAGGUCUGCUCACUGGGUUGCGUAGCGCAGUGCCAGCCUUGGGCGCUGUGGGCCUUCCUCUGGGCUGAGUGUCGGGCGGCGUGACCUCGUGGUGACACCCAGCAACCCCACCCUCGCCACCCACCCUGCUGGGCCAGCGCUGGAAACAAGACACCGCCACCCCCUCCACCUUCCUUGCUCCAAGUGCAGGAAGGAGUCCGGGGGCCAAGGAAAGUGCCCUGGAGUAGGCGUCUCAAGACUGCAUUCCCUGAGUACGUGGCCCCAGCGGUAUCCCCAGACACAGCUUGCAUCCAGCAAAUGCUUGUUGAGCGACUGAAUGAAAACCACAGACUGAA
Molecule: long non-coding RNA, 2202 nt
Organism: Bubalus bubalis (water buffalo)
Lineage: Eukaryota; Metazoa; Chordata; Mammalia; Artiodactyla; Bovidae
Exons: 3
Source: RefSeq, a predicted model, not a curated record